Molecule: ribosomal RNA, 888 nt
Filed under: Salmonella enterica
Lineage: Bacteria; Pseudomonadati; Pseudomonadota; Gammaproteobacteria; Enterobacterales; Enterobacteriaceae
Description: partial 23S ribosomal RNA
Rfam family: Bacterial large subunit ribosomal RNA
Source: RNAcentral
AGACCCGAAACCCGGUGAUCUAGCCAUGGGCAGGUUGAAGGUUGGGUAACACUAACUGGAGGACCGAACCGACUAAUGUUGAAAAAUUAGCGGAUGACCUGUGGCUGGGGGUGAAAGGCCAAUCAAACCGGGAGAUAGCUGGUUCUCCCCGAAAGCUAUUUAGGUAGCGCCUCGUGAAUUCAUCUCCGGGGGUAGAGCACUGUUUCGGCUAGGGGGCCAUCCCGGCUUACCAACCCGAUGCAAACUGCGAAUACCGGAGAAUGUUAUCACGGGAGACACACGGCGGGUGCUAACGUCCGUCGUGAAGAGGGAAACAACCCAGACCGCCAGCUAAGGUCCCAAAGUCAUGGUUAAGUGGGAAACGAUGUGGGAAGGCCCAGACAGCCAGGAUGUUGGCUUAGAAGCAGCCAUCAUUUAAAGAAAGCGUAAUAGCUCACUGGUCGAGUCGGCCUGCGCGGAAGAUGUAACGGGGCUAAACCAUGCACCGAAGCUGCGGCAGCGACGCUGAUGCGUUGUUGGGUAGGGGAGCGUUCUGUAAGCCUGUGAAGGUGGCCUGUGAGGGUUGCUGGAGGUAUCAGAAGUGCGAAUGCUGACAUAAGUAACGAUAAAGCGGGUGAAAAGCCCGCUCGCCGGAAGACCAAGGGUUCCUGUCCAACGUUAAUCGGGGCAGGGUGAGUCGACCCCUAAGGCGAGGCCGAAAGGCGUAGUCGAUGGGAAACGGGUUAAUAUUCCCGUACUUGGUGUUACUGCGAAGGGGGGACGGAGAAGGCUAUGUUGGCCGGGCGACGGUUGUCCCGGUUUAAGCGUGUAGGUGUGUGUUCCAGGUAAAUCCGGUUCACUUUAACACUGAGGCGUGAUGACGAGGCACUACGGUGCUGAAGCAACAAA